Molecule: long non-coding RNA, 957 nt
Organism: Alexandromys fortis (reed vole)
Lineage: Eukaryota; Metazoa; Chordata; Mammalia; Rodentia; Cricetidae
Exons: 2
Source: RefSeq, a predicted model, not a curated record
UGAGGAAGAGCAGCUUCAAGACCCUUGGCAGAUCAGGCCUGACACUCAGAUGCUUAAGUGAAACUGACCGAAGAGCCACCAGGCUGGAGUGUGAACUACAGCAAGUGAGAAUGCUUGUCCAUCCUUAAAGGGCAGCAGCUGAUUACUGCCACAUUUUAUGAUUGUAGUUGGAAACUCAUGAAGAGAAACAGACAACUCCCAGAACCUGUGCAGAUCAUACACAGCCAGCACACAGGGUCGUGUCCCUUGCCAGAGAAAGGACAUCAGUGGUUUGAAUGCCCUUCCGAGCCCUGAGAAGCAGACUUAAAUCUCUUUGAAUACACCAGCUCACCCUCCUCUGAAAAAACUGACGUGCAAAGAGCACGGCUAAUAGCCUUCUGCCCCCGCUUUCUUUUUCAAUAUCCCUGCUCUUCAUUGUUAUUUGAGGCAGGUCUCUUGGGAGCUACAUCUAAAACAGCCAUUUAUUUAUCUUUUCUUAGUUGGAUUCACACAGUUGGAUCAUCUAGGUCAAUUUAUGCCUCAUCACCUCACCCUCAACUUGGUUCCCAGCCUUUUUAGGUGCCUGUAUUAGUCUCCUAUAAUCUCAACCCAUUAAAAAAUUUACAGAGCUGGGUGGUUGUGACACACACCUUUAAUCCCAGCACUAAGGAGGAAGAGGCUGGUAGAUCUCUGUGAGUCUUUGAGUUGGAGUCCAGCCUGGUCUACUGAGCAAGUUUCAGGACAUCCAGGGCGACACAGAGAAACCUUGGCUCAGGUAGAAAAAAAAAAUUUACUGUAUACCCGAUGUGGUGGCACAGAUGUUUAACCUCAAUACUACUAAGGCAGUGGUAGGUGGAGUUCUCUGAGUUUGAGACCAACCUGGUCUACAUAGUGUGUCCCAGGCUACACACUCGGGGGAGGAAAAAAAAAAAAAACCCCACCACACACAAAAAAAGAAAAAGGUUUUAUGGGGCUAGG